This 3198-nucleotide long non-coding RNA is filed under the name Sus scrofa (pig). RNAcentral describes it as "lncRNA (ENSSSCG00030036185.1)". The record is from RNAcentral. Lineage: Eukaryota; Metazoa; Chordata; Mammalia; Artiodactyla; Suidae.
GCAUAUGGAGGUUCCCAGGCUAGAGGUCAAAUUAUAGCUGUAGCUGCCGGCCUACACCACAGCACAGCAACACCAGAUCCAAGCUGCAUCUGUGACCUACAUCACAGCUCUCGGAAACGCCAGAUCCUUAACCCACUGAGUGAGGUCAGGGAUCGAACCUGCGUUGUCAUGGAUACUAGUCAGAUUCAUUUCUGCUGAGCCACGUUCGGAAUUCCCAAAUCUCUAGUUUGAAGUGUUAAGAACUCUCUGCUUAUUAGGUAUACAUCAUGAUUGAUAUACAUUAUCUUGUUCUUCAUAUAUAUGAACUCCAGAGGUAGAAGUUAUUCUCACUUUGUGGUUGAAAAACUGAGGUUCAGAGAGUUUAAGUAAAUUGCCUAGGUCAUAUUUUUUUAAAUAGUGGAGUGGUCAUUCAAACCAAAGACCCUUGACCAAAAGCAUCAGACUCUGCUCCCACACUACACCACUUCUGAUCAACAAUCUCAUCUAAGUGCCAGACACUCAAUACUGAAUUUCUAGAAGAUAUCUUCAUGUGGAUAUUCCAUAGAUGCUUCAGAAUCAGUGUAUCCAAAGGGGAAUUCAACAUCAUCCUGCAAAACCUUCUAAUGCAUUUGCCUCUCAGUACAGAGACUAUUUGUAGCAACCUAGUUGUACAACUCAGCAACCUGGGUUAUCUUAAGCCAUUCAUUUUUACACCUCACUGCAUCUGAUCCAUUUAAGUCUCGAUAAUUUCUCUUUUACAUAUUUUUAUUUUUGUAUCUUCCUCUUUGCUCUCAUGGCCAUAGCCAUCAUCAGGCCCUCACCUUUCCUCACAAUUUAAUUCCGUUUCCUCCCUAACAGAUCCAUCUUGCUUUUGUGUAACACAGCACUGACACACACUCUAUUCCCAGAGCAACCUCCACCCUGCCAAUGAUUUGUACAGUAUUCAAAUCCAGUAACGUCCCUCCUUUUUUCUCCCAGGCUCACCCUUCUUACUGUGGCAUACAGGAACCUUCAUGACCUGGUUACUGCCCCUUUAGGAAUUUACCUUCCAAGUCUUUUUCACAUGGGCCAUGUGCAUGAUGGACACAUUAGGGAAAUAUGUCUUUACAACUUUGGUUCCUUCUUUGAAUAUGUAACUUCUAACCUGUUUAGUAAAGAUCUAUUUGUUUUUCAACAUUCAUCUCAAAGACACUUCCUAUAAGAAGUGAGAGGCACAGACCGCAUCCCAAUAUAAAAAUUGAACACUACAGACAUUUGCUUUACCAAUUUCCAUGGCAGCUGAGAGGUCAGCAUGUGACUUGGGCUCUCAUCCUGGACUUUGAAUUUGGUACUAGUGAUACAUCAUAGCUACUACCCUCACUGAUGGUGCUGGGAGUAUCAUCAGUUCUAAGUUUCUGGGAUGAUACGGUGCUAUUAGCAAGAGUGCUUUGUGGCAGCCGCAAUGAUGCUCCUUCACCAUCAGUUCUGCGGCAUGAAUUGUUCCUGGCCUUAUUGUGCCUGAGUAGUGUUCUUGAGCCUUCUAAGUGUUUCUGAUAGAUCAGACACUAUUUUAAAAAUAAAUUCCUUUCUACUUAAGUCUGCCAGACGUAUAUCUGUACUUGCAACUAAGAGCAGUGGUUGCCAUGUCCAGGCAGAAUUAAGCAAAGCCCUACUCUCUGGUCUAAGAGCACUCUUUUCGAAGGGCUAUUAUGCACAUCUCUCAUUACAUUGUGGCUGUCUUGCUCUUCUGCCUUCCCCCCUCUAUUCAUCAUUUUGAAGUGAGGAUAUUUGUCUUCUUUUGUUUCUAUCCUCAUCCUAUCACAGGUCCUGGCACAUAAUGGUCUCAGUAAGUGUUUGUUUUGAAUGAGGAAGCUAUUUAAUGAAUAACUAAAAAACUGAUUUUGAAAUAGUCUGCUUUUCUACAUUAUGCUUUUUCUUCUUCAAAUAAUAGCCCUCUCUUAAAAAUUAACUAUAAAGCCUAAGUAGGCUCAAUCUGUUUACAUUGAAUCCGAUGAUUUUAAGUGCUUUCUAAAGACACAUCACUGAGAGAUCAAACAAUACUCUUGAAUUUGUCUGAUGAAAAAUGGUUCUGAAGUUAAGUAAGAUAUAGAUCACCACAGGACAUCCCAGCAUAUUCAAGGUCAUUCCAGUGCCCAUCAAUUUUACCAACUUUCAGUUAACUAGAAACAUCAAUUUCCUAACCAUGAUAGUUAAAUUAAAAAAUCACUUUAAAUAAAACAAUAUCUAAAUUCUUCGGAUUUAUGACCACUUAUUUGGCUUUAUUUUUAACAAGGAAAAGAAGAGAAAAGAUACGAUGGGAAAUAUCCCAUUAUUAACUUAAAGGAUUCCAUCCAGGUCAAGAACAGAGAUUAUCCUUUGAUACAGACAAUGGGUUCUAAAGAGGACGGGGAGACUGGUUUUCCACUGACCACUCAACCAUUUGGUACAUUUAGAACCAACACCCAGUGCAUUUUCAGACUUUUAAUACAGUCUCCCACCGUCAAGAUUAGUUGUCAAGCUGAACAGACACCAAUUCUGACUCUCAGGAGGAACGGCUACACAUUUAACUUGAUGGGAGACACACAAAAAGCAGCUAGUGGAGGUCCAGCUGACAUAUGAAUCAGUUGGAAAUCUAGAAUGUCACAAAAUACUAAAAGGCUAUAUUAGAGAGACAUUAGAAGCUGCCUUGUAAUAUUAUGGACCUUACAACCAUUAUUGCAAUUAAAUUUAUGUGUCUAUCUCUGGCACAGUCUCCCUUGAGUAUAAGAACUUUGUUGGACUUUACAAUUCAUCUUCCUAUCUCUAAGAAUAAGUAUCAUGCUUGGUAUACUUUUAAAAGUAAAGAAGCCAUAACAGGAUAAAACCCAUAUACCAAUUCUCCUUAAAAACUGUUUAAAGGCCACUUUUGGCAAAUCAGCUGAAAUUUUUCAAUGACCCAUGUGAUGGUUUAAAGAAACUAUUCAACAAUAUCCACCUUAUCCUUUCCAGUGAUUUCUAUAUUGCUUCAGUUUCUCUUCUUUCAGUAUUCUUUUUUUUUUUUUGUCUUUUUGUCUCUUUUUGUCUUUUGUUGUUGUUGCUAUUUCUUGGGCCACUCCCGCGGCAUAUGGAGCGGCCCAAAAAAUGGCAAAAAAAAAAAAAAAAAAAAAAAAAAAAAAAAAAAAAAAACUAAAAAAAAAAUANACUAAGUGGUAACUUCAUGGGUAGUACAAGUACCUUAUACUAAUAAUAAUCCUAAUUCUC